This 107-nucleotide ribosomal RNA is filed under the name Syntrophomonadaceae bacterium. Lineage: Bacteria; Bacillati; Bacillota; Clostridia; Eubacteriales; Syntrophomonadaceae. The record is from RNAcentral.
ACAAUGGCGGAGGUGAAACACCCGUUCCCAUCCCGAACACGGCAGUUAAGCCCUCCAGCGCCGAUGGUACUGCAGUGAAGCUGUGGGAGAGUAGGACGUUGCCAGGA